This 254-nucleotide ribosomal RNA is filed under the name uncultured bacterium. RNAcentral describes it as "partial small subunit ribosomal RNA". It matches the Rfam family "Bacterial small subunit ribosomal RNA", at positions 26 to 285 of the family's 1533-position model. The record is from RNAcentral.
AGAGCGAACGCUGGCGGCGUGCUUAACACAUGCAAGUCGAGCGGAAAGGCCCUUCGGGGUACUCGAGCGGCGAACGGGUGAGUAACACGUGAGCAACCUGCCCUUAGCUCUGGGAUAGCUCCGGGAAACCGGAAUUAAUACCGGAUAUUACACCGGCUGGCAUCGGCUGGUGUGGAAAGAUUUAUCGGCUAAGGAUGGACUCGCGGCCUAUCAGCUUGUUGGUGGGUAGAAGCCUACCAAGGCGACGACGGGUA